CCGAUCCCAUCCCGAACUCGGAAGUGAAACCGCUUAGCGCCGAUGAUAGUGUGGCAGUUUGCCAUGCGAAAGUAGGGAAUUGCCAAGC
This 88-nucleotide ribosomal RNA is filed under the name Methylovulum sp. Lineage: Bacteria; Pseudomonadati; Pseudomonadota; Gammaproteobacteria; Methylococcales; Methylococcaceae. The record is from RNAcentral.